This 1532-nucleotide long non-coding RNA is filed under the name Monodelphis domestica (gray short-tailed opossum). RNAcentral describes it as "lncRNA (ENSMODG00000043100.1)". The record is from RNAcentral. Lineage: Eukaryota; Metazoa; Chordata; Mammalia; Didelphimorphia; Didelphidae.
AUGAUGUUCUUUCCUAUUCUAAAUCAAUUUUUCAAAUUGACCCAGCCCUUAAAUAAUGAAGAAGCCUUGAAGUUUCAUUUGAGCUUAAUAAAAAAUUUGAAUAUUAUACCAAAGACUAUACAGCAUUUAUUAAGAUCUUACUCUAACAUGUGUAACCCAGUGGAAUUCCUUGUCAGCUUUGGGAUGGGGGAGGAAAAAGGUGAGAAAAAGAACAUGAAUCAUGUAACCAUGGAAAAAUACUUAAAAAGAAAGAAUUUUAAAAGAAUAUAAUAUCAUUUUACUUUAGAAAUCAUACAAAAUAUUUCCAUAUUAACCAAAUCAGAUUACAAAGGGAAAAAAGCAAGAAAAUAAUACUUCUGUUUCCACUCAGAGUUCAUCAGUUCUCUCUCUGGAGGUGGGUAGCAUUUUUCAUUCUAGGUACUUUGGAAUUUUCUUAGAUCAUUGUAUUAAUUAGAGUAGCCAAGUGUUUCACCGAUGAUCACCAGUACAGUUGAUCAUCACUGGUGUUACUGUGCACAAUGAUGUCCUGGCUCUUCUCACUUUACUUUGCAUCAGUUCAUAAAGGGGUUGCCAUGUUUUUCUGAACACACACACACACACACACACACACACAACAUACACAUAUCAUUUUCUACAGCAAAACAGUACUCCAUCAUAAUCAUAUAUCAAAACUUGUUGAGCCACUCACCAAUCAAUGAGCAUCCCUUCACUUUCCAAUUCUUUGCCACCACAAAAAGAACUAUAAAUAUUUUUGUACAAAAAGACCUUUUCCUAUUUCUCCCUUUGGGGUCCAGACCGAGUAAUGAUAUUACUGGGUCAAAAGAUAUACACAGUUUUAUAGCCCUUGGGCAUAGUUCCAGAUUGUUCUCCAAAAAUGGGUGAACUAUGGUUCUUCAUCCAUAAAAUAAGGGCAUUACAAUAGAGUCUUAUAAAGUCCCUUUUUUCUUUCUAUCCAUGUUCUACUUGAGAUGCCAUGAUUUUCAACAGCACAUAGGCUUGGCCAGGACCACCAGUGAAAGUCCCUGCCCACUGCUAUCUUCAGUCACAAGAACCGGAACACAGUCCUCAAUCUUCCUUCUCCACUCACUCCCACUCUGACUUACCCAGGAUAUAGUAAGGGAACAAGGAUCACCAGCUGGGCAUGUUCCUUACAAAAGGCUCCUGACCUCUGACUCAAAGCAUUCUUUUUUACUUCACUAAUUUAUCCAUGUUGACAGAAAGCUUAUGGCUUCUUUUGCAGAGAAAAGCUUAAGAAUAUUACGGUGCAUUAAUUCUGGAUUCGUCAGCACCAAGCCAUGAUUAGUUAUAUGACUAGAGAGCAAAGGCUCAUUUAAUUCUUUGUAGUCAUAUCUUCAGUGACUAAUAUAGUGCUUAGGCCACAGCAAGUACCUAAUAUAUACUUAUCCUGUUGUUGUUCAGUCAUUUCAUCAUGCCUGACUCCUUGUGACCCUAUUUGGGGUUUCCUUUAAUAUAUACUUGAUUGGUGCUGAUUGAUCAAUAAACAUUGUAGUUGCCCAGAACUGUCCUGUGUA